This 317-nucleotide unclassified non-coding RNA is filed under the name uncultured fungus. RNAcentral describes it as "partial contains 5.8S ribosomal RNA, internal transcribed spacer 2, and large subunit ribosomal RNA". The record is from RNAcentral. Lineage: Eukaryota; Fungi.
AACGCAAAUUGCGCCCGAGGCUUCGGCCGAGGGCAUGUCUGCCUCAGCGUCGGCCCACUCCCUCGUUCCCCACCCUUGCGUGGUCGAACGGAUCUGACCUUCCCGGUUCAGCUCGUUGUUGACGGCCCCGGGUUGGUUGAAGCUUAGAGGUUUGAGCAUGGCCCCGACUGAAGGGCAAUGGCUUGGUAGGUGGGCUUUCCACAACCCUGCCGUCGCCCUAGGGACCUUGUUGGAAGCCAACCGGGCUUUGGGCCAAGUCUCAAAGCCCACCUUCAAAUUUCGACCUGAGCUCAGGCAAGACUACCCGCUGAACUUAA